This 478-nucleotide ribosomal RNA is filed under the name uncultured bacterium. RNAcentral's name for it is "partial 16S ribosomal RNA". It matches the Rfam family "Bacterial small subunit ribosomal RNA", at positions 28 to 523 of the family's 1533-position model. The record is from RNAcentral.
GACGAACGCUGGCGGCGUGCUUAACACAUGCAAGUCGAACGGUAAGGCCCUUCGGGGUACACGAGUGGCGAACGGGUGAGUAACACGUGGGUGAUCUGCCCUGCACUUCGGGAUAAGCCUGGGAAACUGGGUCUAAUACCGGAUAGGACCACUGCCUGCAUGGGUGGUGGUGGAAAGCUUUUGCGGUGUGGGAUGGGCCCGCGGCCUAUCAGCUUGUUGGUGGGGUGAUGGCCGACCAAGGCGACGACGGGUAGCCGGCCUGAGAGGGUGACCGGCCACACUGGGACUGAGAUACGGCCCAGACUCCUACGGGAGGCGGCAGUGGGGAAUAUUGCACAAUGGGCGCAAGCCUGAUGCAGCGACGCCGCGUGAGGGAUGACGGCCUUCGGGUUGUAAACCUCUUUCAGCACCGACGAAGCGCAAGUGACGGUAGGUGCAGAAGAAGGACCGGCCGACUACGUGCCAGCAGCCGCCGUAA